This is a long non-coding RNA of Mytilus californianus (California mussel), 376 nucleotides long. RefSeq lists it as uncharacterized. The record is from RefSeq and is a predicted model, not a curated record. NCBI's taxonomy places the organism in Eukaryota, Metazoa, Mollusca, Bivalvia, Mytilida, Mytilidae. The transcript has 3 exons.
GAAGCAUUCCAGCGUUUCUUGGAUUAUUACAAAAAUGGUCAGCAUGCAAACGCUUUGAGUGGAGCAGAAAUCAGCAUUUUGGGCCACUUCACGUGUGGAAUGACAACUGAUCAGAUAGCUACAAUCCAUCAUACCACCUAUUUAAAUGCGUCAGAAGCUAUAGGACAAGUAACAAGCUGCAAUGAACUACAAUUUAUUGAGUGGGCUAAACUUGCCAAAUUAGCAUUUGGUGAUGAUGUAUCUACCUGGGAUACGUCUACCAUUCAGAGAGUUGGCACAGUAAUUGGGGGCCUUAAAGAAGAGGAUAUUCUAAAGCUUACUGAGGACCACAUUGAUAGCAUCAAUCCAGAUCACAUUACAUACAUUCCAUCCUCUA